CGGAGCGUAGCGCAGUCUGGUUUGGGACCAGAGGGUCGAAGGUUCGAAUCGUUUCGCUCCGACCA
RNAcentral lists this transfer RNA (65 nucleotides) under Burkholderia metallica. Its description in RNAcentral is "tRNA-OTHER". It matches the Rfam family "tRNA". From Rfam's summary of the family: Transfer RNA (tRNA) molecules are approximately 80 nucleotides in length. Their secondary structure includes four short double-helical elements and three loops (D, anti-codon, and T loops). RNAcentral also lists the same sequence under 1 other name. Lineage: Bacteria; Pseudomonadati; Pseudomonadota; Betaproteobacteria; Burkholderiales; Burkholderiaceae. The record is from RNAcentral.